UCUGGAUCGUUACCUAAGACCUUACCGAACGUCCUAACUAAUAUGGCGGGCUCAUGACUUAUGCGUUCAAAAGCAUUUCGGCGAAUCACACAAGACAUAUCCCAGAACACAUAGAGACGAAAGAAGAAAAAAAGUCAAAGUUAAAAAGAUUUUGAUUUCAUUGAUGCUCGAGCUAAGUUUACAAAAUUAGACCGAAGCCCG
RNAcentral lists this long non-coding RNA (201 nucleotides) under Elaeis guineensis (African oil palm). RNAcentral's name for it is "long non-coding RNA (EGUI_LNC002176)". The record is from RNAcentral. Lineage: Eukaryota; Viridiplantae; Streptophyta; Magnoliopsida; Arecales; Arecaceae.